RNAcentral lists this unclassified non-coding RNA (386 nucleotides) under Hevea brasiliensis (rubber tree). The record is from RNAcentral. Lineage: Eukaryota; Viridiplantae; Streptophyta; Magnoliopsida; Malpighiales; Euphorbiaceae.
AGGCAAAAUCCAGGCACCUUGCCUUGGAAGCCUCCAGGCGAGGUGACUUCAACUAGGCGCUGCCUAGGCGAGGAAAGGCGAGAAAUUGCAAAAAAUAAUAAAAAAAAAGGUUGAGAGAGAAGUCAAUCAUGGCCACAUUCUCCUCUCUCUUUCAUUUUUUUUUUGGUUAAACAUAUCCAUUAUUUUUCUUUAUUCUUCUCUUCUAUCCCUUCGCAAAUUUUGAAAUUCUUUUUUUGUUGUCACUUUUUUUCUUAAACCAGUAUAUUAUUUAAAAUUCUGCAUAUAUUCUAUUUUUUUUGUCUAAAAUUCUGUCACAUUUUUAUUAUUCCAGUUGAGUAUGUUUAUUGUUCCUUUUCUUGUUCUUAUUAGUUCUUAUUAGAGUGUCG